CAGCUUGCCCAGCUCCUGCGGAGUGCCCAGGCCGGUCUGGCCCAGGUACAGCGGCUGGCUGCUGUUGAGGCCCCGGAGGAAGUUUUCCAGCCGCUCGCCGCGAAUGUAGGUGUCGUCGUCCGCGCGGAUGAACCACUCGAAGGCCUGGAGGUGCCGCUCCGCCAUGUAUUUGAGCAUCAGGAAGGACUUCUUCUGCGGCGGGUACGAGUCAUCAACCCCGGGCAGGGCGACCAGGGGCAGCGGUAAGCUCAGGUCCGAGCCCUCACUGGAGAAGAACUCCACACGGCCCGGGAUGUGCUGGGCCCAGGUCCGCUGGGCAGCAAUCGCCCGGCUCCUCAGGUAUUUUGCUUAGACUUCACUGCUGGUGUCUUUGGCUCAGAAAUUGUUAUUUUUACUCUGAAAAGAAACAGUUUAUUUGAGCCUCAUUUAAAAACCUGAUUUAAUGAAUAUAAAACAUCGGUAUCAAUCCACUGCCAGGUCAUCAGAAACAGGCUACCAAGACUGUCCUUUCCAGCAUCAGAUCAGCAUUAUUUCCAGGAAUGUUUUUUUUUCGCUGGAGCCUGGUCAGGAUGUAUCUAU
Molecule: long non-coding RNA, 579 nt
Organism: Hemiscyllium ocellatum (epaulette shark)
Lineage: Eukaryota; Metazoa; Chordata; Chondrichthyes; Orectolobiformes; Hemiscylliidae
Exons: 3
Source: RefSeq, a predicted model, not a curated record